UACGAAGGGGGCUAGCGUUGUUCGGAAUUACUGGCGUAAAGCGCACGUAGGCGGAUUGUUAAGUCAGGGGUGAAAUCCCGGGGCUCAACCCCCGGAACUGCCUUUGAUACUGGCAUUCUCGAGUCCGGAAGAGGUGAGUGGAAUUCCGAGUGUAGAGGUGAAAUUCGUAGAUAUUCGGAGGAACACCAGUGGCGAAGGCGGCUCACUGGUCCGGAACUGACGCUGAGGUGCGAAAGCGUGGGGAGCAAACAGG
Molecule: ribosomal RNA, 253 nt
Filed under: uncultured bacterium
Lineage: Bacteria
Description: partial 16S ribosomal RNA
Rfam family: Bacterial small subunit ribosomal RNA
Source: RNAcentral